UUGAACGCUGGCGGCAUGCCUUACACAUGCAAGUCGAACGGCAGCACGGGUGCUUGCACCUGGUGGCGAGUGGCGAACGGGUGAGUAAUACAUCGGAACAUGUCCUGUAGUGGGGGAUAGCCCGGCGAAAGCCGGAUUAAUACCGCAUACGAUCUACGGAUGAAAGCGGGGGACCUUCGGGCCUCGCGCUAUAGGGUUGGCCGAUGGCUGAUUAGCUAGUUGGUGGGGUAAAGGCCUACCAAGGCGACGAUCAGUAGCUGGUCUGAGAGGACGACCAGCCACACUGGGACUGAGACACGGCCCAGACUCCUAAGGGAGGCAGCAGUGGGGAAUUUUGGACAAUGGGCGAAAGCCUGAUCCAGCAAUGCCGCGUGUGUGAAGAAGGCCUUCGGGUUGUAAAGCACUUUUGUCCGGAAAGAAAUCCUUGGCCCUAAUACGGUCGGGGGAUGACGGUACCGGAAGAAUAAGCACCGGCUAACUACGUG
Molecule: ribosomal RNA, 485 nt
Filed under: uncultured bacterium
Lineage: Bacteria
Description: partial 16S ribosomal RNA
Rfam family: Bacterial small subunit ribosomal RNA
Source: RNAcentral